CUGUCGUUAGCUGUCAUACUAAUAUCCUAAGGCUGCUAUAAGGAAUUAAUUUCCAAGGGCUGCUGUAAAAACAACAGAAAUUUAUUCUCUUCCUGUUCUGGAGGCUGGAAGUCCUAAGUUAAGUUAGUGGGGCCAUGCUCCCUCUGACACUCUAGGUAGAAUCUUCCCUUGCUUCUACCUAGUUUCUGCUGGUAGCCGGCAAUCGUGGGUGCUCCUUGGCUUGCAGCUGUAUCAUUUAUAUCUCUGCUCUGUCCUUCCAUGGUGUCCUCCCUGUGUGUAUGUCUUCAUAUCGUCCCUCUUCUUAUAAGUGCGUGGGUCAUAUUGGGUUAAGGGCCACCUUUCUCUACUAUGACCUCAUCUUAACUAACUGCACCUGCAAUGACCUUAUUUCCAAAUAAGGUCACUUUCUGAGAUACAGGGGGUUAGAACCCAACAUAUCUUUCUCGAACACAAAAUUCCAUCCAUGGUAGCUCUCUAGGAAGUUUGAGAGGUUGGAAUUAUGAAAGUCAAUGGCAGCUGGCCAUUGUGAGGUUAUCGAAUCAAGCACUUCCUGCUCCGCACCUGCCCUGCAGCAGCCCACUCCCAGACAUCUGCGAACUGUGGUCAUCCAUCCCAGGUUCAGAUUCCUGGGACUCAAGCUCUAGAGAUGCUGUUGGCCAUGCAGUCAUAGGUGUUCAAGUGGCUACAUUUUGAGAAACACUUACACAGACAAGAGUCCAGGUCAAGGUCAGAUUUUGUUCUUUCAAGGGCUCCAUGACCAGGAAGUUGUCUGAUCACCACGCGGGGAGGAGGAGUCUGAGAGAACCCAGUACAGGAUCCUGCAGUGUGGUAUUCCUCCAACUUUACAGUGAUCCCCGUCGUUUGGAGGGCAUGGGAAAACAACUGCCUGGACCUUGUUCCCAGAGUGUCAAGUUCAUCACGUGUGAGUGGGGCCUGAGAUGCACAUCUGAGAAAUACGCAUUUCUAAGGUAUUCCCAGUGUGGUGCACCCUGAACAUCCCUGCUCUAGGGGAAGCUCUUCCUGCCCUUCGGAUCCUUUACCAGCUGCUCUGCUCUCCUAGGUGCCAACAGGUCAUGGCUGACCCUUCUGUUGCCCUUAGCCUAACACAAACACCUACCUCCAGGUGGGUGGAAUACCUGUUGUGGUUUGUGGUCAGGCGCUUCCAUGUGGAGCCGGACCAAAGCCCGUCUCCCAUGGAACCCAUAUUGUUGCUGAGCUGUUUCUCCUGCCCUGCUUCCCUCACUCCCUUCUCCUCAGAGCCUCUCCCCACAAUCACUUAACAAGAACGCUAGUUUCUUCCUCUGCUCCUAGAGAAUCCGACCUAAGAUGAAUCUUAUUCAUAUUUUUGUCAAAAUCAUCUUAAUAUGUAUAAAGCACCAAUUAUGCACUGGUGCUGUAUAUAGAGGCACGUUAAAAAAAAAUACACGUCCAGCCCCAUCCUGGUCACCGCAUGUACCCCUGCCCUAUAAUCAGAGUCCCAAAGGUGUCACUGCAUUCUGCAUCCUAGAAUCCUGCCUCCAUUUUGCAAGAGUGACAUUGCCCCUUAAGAUACUGAGUUGGCAAACCUGAUGGAUGCCUUAUGAUUGUCCGGGCCACCACACUGCCUACGGAAUGACACCCAGACUUCCUGGUUAGAGAUUAAAAACUCUAGAAACUGCUCCAGCUAGUUUGCUAAUGCUCCUGGGGCAUCUGCGUGAUUGCCUCACCCAAGCCAGCAUACUUACUGUAGGUGUUGUGUUCAGCUGGGCUCAGACACCUCUUUCUUUUCACGGACGCUUUCAAAGGAGCUUUUCAUGACUUUUCAGUCUGAUGGAGUCCCCGUUCCGUGUUUUCUUAACAAACUCUGUGCGCUUCUUUGAGAGUGUUUGUUUGCUUCCUCCAACCCCCAACGCCUACACAAAGCUUCAUAGCACUGUCUUUUUCUCCUGAUACCCAGAAACUGACUCACUGUAGGCACUCAAUUAUUCAGAUUUCGCUUCUGCUUUUCCUAUUAUGAGCUGUAUAAUUUGAAGCAAGAUAGUUAUUCUCUCGUCUCUUGAGUUACCUCAUCCCUGAAGUGGGACAGAUAAUAUAGCAGAUCUGUGAGUAAUGCAAGUGGAAGUGUCUAGCAGAAUGCCUCUGAAGAUCACAAACACAGUAAUGUCACCUCCCCUCUGUCAACACCCAUCAAAUCGUAUUCCCUCCUGAGGUUCUCUGCACCUUUCUGAGUCUUAUCCUUCCUUCAUGGCCUGGGCUUCCCUGCCCUCAGAAAUCUUUCCCAUUUUGGUCUCUGAUGGUUGGUGCCUGUGAGGGUGAAUAUGGAGACCACCCAAGAAAGUGGUGGCUGGUUAUGGCCUAUGGUCAACAGCAAAGGGUAUAUCUUAGCCCUUCUUCCCCUUCAUCACUGCAUGGAUUCUCCCCCCAGCCAGGAGCUCAGGGCCCCC
Long non-coding RNA from Felis catus (domestic cat), 2423 nucleotides. RefSeq lists it as uncharacterized. The record is from RefSeq and is a predicted model, not a curated record. The transcript is spliced from 3 exons. NCBI's taxonomy places the organism in Eukaryota, Metazoa, Chordata, Mammalia, Carnivora, Felidae.